CUUCCCUACGGGGCGCAGCAGUGGGGAAUAUUGGGCAAUGGGCGCAAGCCUGAACCAGCCAAGUAGCGUGAAGGAUGACUGCCCUACGGGUUGUAAACUUCUUUUAUAAAGGAAUAAAGUGAGGCACGUGUGCCUUUUUGUAUGUACUUUAUGAAUAAGGAUCGGCUAACUCCGUGCCAGCAGCCGCGGUAAUACGGAGGAUCCGAGCGUUAUCCGGAUUUAUUGGGUUUAAAGGGAGCGUAGAUGGGUUGUUAAGUCAGUUGUGAAAGUUUGCGGCUCAGCCGUAAAAUUGCAAUU
RNAcentral lists this ribosomal RNA (297 nucleotides) under uncultured bacterium. RNAcentral's name for it is "partial 16S ribosomal RNA". It matches the Rfam family "Bacterial small subunit ribosomal RNA", at positions 334 to 628 of the family's 1533-position model. The record is from RNAcentral.